RNAcentral lists this transfer RNA (67 nucleotides) under Marmota monax (woodchuck). RNAcentral describes it as "tRNA.Ala". Lineage: Eukaryota; Metazoa; Chordata; Mammalia; Rodentia; Sciuridae. The record is from RNAcentral.
GGCUGUAUCUCAGUGGUAGAGCGCUUGCCUAGCAUGUGUGAGGCACUGGGUUCCAUCCUCAGCACCA